This 1844-nucleotide long non-coding RNA is filed under the name Heterocephalus glaber (naked mole-rat). RNAcentral describes it as "lncRNA (ENSHGLG00100036630.1)". The record is from RNAcentral. Lineage: Eukaryota; Metazoa; Chordata; Mammalia; Rodentia; Bathyergidae.
CUCCUGCCUCCUGCCUCCUGCCAGACUCCGUUCUUUACAGACUUAGCCUUCAAGAAGCAUGUGUGGAUAACUCACACUCAUGGCCCUGUUCCACUUACGUGCUGUACUUGUGGUCCCCUCAGCAGUCACAAACUUCUUCCACUAUCCACCUAAGAUUCAAAGGGCAAAAGCCUCAGUGGGCAAAAUCCCAAUGACCCUAUUUGACCCUGUCCUUCUGGCCUAAAACACCUCAGGUACCAUCAAAGUCUUCACAAAAUCAUGAUGAAUAAGCACUAGCUACAGCCUGAAUGUCAUCUUACCUCCUAUGCCUCUGCACUUAUAUCAUGUCUGCCCUUCUCUUGCAAGCUUUAGCAACCUGCCAAACUACCUAUUUUUUACAUACCCUCCAAGCAUGGUCACUUACACCAUCACCUAUGUUACCCAGGUACCCAAAAAACUGACCCAAUCCAUGCUCCUCAUUCCCUUUCUUUGCCACCUAAUAGCAUUACAACUACAACCCAGAGACUGUCCCUCUUAAAUGUAACCCACAGUUCACUCAGUUUAGUCCACAUGACAGCCAACAUAUUUUGAAUGUCUGUAUCCUGAGCCACAUUCCACAUUUCUGCCCACUUAACAUCUCUUAGAGCCUUUGUAGGCUCUAAAAAUUUCAGGCUGGUGAAAACAACCUUUCUCAUAUGCCUAGUGAGUAAUACUCCAACUACCAACUUGUUCAUCUUGGUUGAUGGAGCUUUUAUCCUUAGCUGUUAAUAUCAAAAACCUUGGGAUCACCUCUGAACCCUGUUUCAUUACCUCACUAUUCACAUUAGAUAAUCUAGUUGCUCCUUUUAAAAAUGUGUAUGCAGCCAUCCCAGCUACUCAGGAGGUUGAAGCAGGAGAACUCCAAGUCUGAAACCAAUGUGGGUAGCUUAGCAGGACUAUCUCAAAUUUUUUAAAAUAAAAUAAAAAUAAAAGGGGCUUGGGAUAUUGCUUAGUGGUAGAGCACCUGGCAUGCACAAGGUCCUGGGUUCAAUACCAGGUACCACCAAAAAAAAAAAAAAAAAAAGCAGCCUCAACUCUGAUCUUCCUUCCUCCUCCAACUCCAGUCUAUUCUCCACUCUGCAGACACACAGAGACUGUUAAGGUAUAUCAUCUCCUUGCUCUGAUACAAACUUCUUACUACCUCCAGAAUAAACAUCAAACUUCUCAACGGUUUGGAAUUUUUUCCCCCUAUGCUGAGGAGCAAAUCCAAGGCCUUGUCAAUGCUAGGCAGAUGCUCUACCACUGAGCUAACCCCAGCCCAAUGUUCGUAGUACUGACUUCAAUCCCACUCUUUGUUAGCACCAGAAAGCAAGCAGACCUGUGAGAACCUAAACGUUCCAGUUUGGCAUUACCUCUGAGCAUGGGUGCAUUUGAUGUCUUUCUGGGAUAACCUUCCACACCUGCUCACACUGAAGAGAAACGAGAGCUCCUUUCAUACCUCUCCAUACAGGCUGGCACGGACUGAGGUCCCCGGGCUUGGGGUUUCUCCAGGGCCCCAGGAACCAAGGACUGGAAGAAUCCUAGAACAUACAAUCCACAGGACGUCUGGGGGUGUCGAGGCCACUGAGGAAUUGAAGCGCCUCCCACCUAAGUGUGCAGCUUCCAUAACCUUCUUUAGACAUGGAAGCCGUGGGAAGUCCAGGCCUCGAGGCGACUCAGUGGAGUCGGGCUCAGCUGUCCCUGUGGCCCAGAGCCCGGAGACCUCGUCUUCGGGGUCGCCCGUCACCCCUAACCCCUCCCUGCUGCAGCAAAGAGCAUUCAGAUCCUCAGAUCCGACCGAAAGAACCCAAAGUGACCGCCAGAAGAAGGCCGCCGGAAGUCCCGCC